Molecule: ribosomal RNA, 775 nt
Filed under: uncultured bacterium
Lineage: Bacteria
Description: bacterial SSU rRNA
Rfam family: Bacterial small subunit ribosomal RNA
Source: RNAcentral
UAGAGUUUGAUCAUGGCUCAGAUUGAACGCUGGCGGCGUGCUUAACACAUGCAAGUCGAGCGAGAAAGCUCUCUUCGGAGAGUGAGUAGAGCGGCGCACGGGUGAGUAACGCGUGGAUAAUCUGCCCUAAAGAUCGGGAUAACAGCUGGAAACGACUGCUAAUACCGAAUGUGCGACAUAUUUAACUUUAUGUUGGAAAGGUGGCCUCUAUUUAUAAGCUACUGCUUUAGGAUGAGUCCGCGUCUCAUUAGCUUGUUGGUGGGGUAAUGGCCUACCAAGGCAACGAUGAGUAGCUGGUCUGAGAGGAUGAUCAGCCACACUGGGACUGAAACACGGCCCAGACUCCUACGGGAGGCAGCAGUGGGGAAUAUUGCGCAAUGGGGGAAACCCUGACGCAGCGACGCCGCGUGUAGGAAGAAGGCUUUCGGGUCGUAAACUACUGUCAAGAGGGAAGAAACUGUUUGGUUAUAAUACGGCCAUUCACUGACGGUACCUCUAGAGGAAGCACCGGCUAACUCCGUGCCAGCAGCCGCGGUAAUACGGAGGGUGCGAGCGUUAAUCGGAAUCACUGGGCGUAAAGCGUGCGUAGGCGGCUUUGCAAGUCAGGCGUGAAAGCCCUCGGCUCAACCGAGGAAUUGCGUUUGAAACUGCUUAGCUAGAGUCUCGGAGAGGUUGGCGGAAUUCCAGGUGUAGGAGUGAAAUCCGUAGAUAUCUGGAGGAACACCGGUGGCGAAGGCGGCCAACUGGACGAGUACUGACGCUGAGGUACGAAAGC